Molecule: non-coding RNA, 2953 nt
Organism: Solanum lycopersicum (tomato)
Lineage: Eukaryota; Viridiplantae; Streptophyta; Magnoliopsida; Solanales; Solanaceae
Source: RefSeq, a predicted model, not a curated record
ACCCAACAGUUUCACCAUAAAGUCUCAUUUUGUAAUUCAUAAUGCUGGAGGUGUGCACGAAAGAGUAAUGGAGGUAUUGUAGCCAUGGAUUGAAAAAGGAUAUGUUACGCGACAUGAUAUCAGAGAUCAGGAAAGGUUUGAUGGCUAUUAUAACAAUAAAUUUCUCAUUGUGAAUGAUUGUUUGCAGAAAUACAGAUUUCUAGCCAAAUGGAUGUUUUUCUUUGAUGAGAUGAGUUCAUAUUUGUGCCUAAAAAGAGUGCUAUCAAGUCUUUGGUUGAUUCGUUAUCAGAUUAUUACACAGUUCACCACUGAACGAAUGUCAAUGUCUAACAAAAUCUGUUUAGAAGAAGUCCACGACAAAUGUUUCUGAAUCUGAUAAUUGACAACUGUGAUUAUAAGGUCGAUCAAUUCUGCUCAAUGCCUUUAAGCGAAAUCUUAAAUUAUUGGUAUAGUAGUACAGUUUUGGUGGUUCUAAAUUUAUAUUUAUUUAAAGGUUCUUUGAUGAUGGAUAGUGAAAUGUUCAAUAGAGACUUGACCACAAGUAGGUUUGGAACAUAUAUUCUCGAGAUGAACCUUCUCUGGUGGUUGAAUCUUGAAUAAUUGAGAUGCUUAAUGGGUUGCAAAAGUUAGAUGCCAUGGAGGGAGUAUCGGGUAACUCUGACCACAUAACAGAGCUUAGACAAGUAUAUUCCUGUAUUUCUGGUUCUUUUGAGGUCCAAGUGGCAGCUAUGCAUGCUAUAGUUCUUUAACUGCUCUACACUGCUUUUUGUCCCUGUUAUGCAAUUUAUUCUUAGCUUUGUAAUUUACUUCUCUGUUCUGCUUUUUGUUGUGAUUAUAGUGAAAUUAAUGUGUCCUGCUUUCAGCCUCGGUGAAACUAAAUUGAAUAGCCUUUAAGCUUCGGAAAGAUAAGAGAAGUAGUCUGGACAACCACAAGCUACUAUUUUUCGUUGAACAACAGGGGCUUGUCAAGAAAAUAAUCUUGCCAAUGGGCUUUUUCUCAGCUAUAAACAGUAACAACAUUCAAUUCCUUUUUACUUUUUCUAAUGGAUCUUUCUCCUGACUUGUGAAUAAGAGAUUUUAAAGUUUCUUCCUUGUAUAAACAUUGAUCAAUACAGUGAUACAUCACUUGUCAAUAUCCAUUUUUUUGUGUAAUCUAUAAUCAUAAGUAGAUGUUAUACAUAAUAAAUAUAGCGACAUAGUUGGUGUAGAAGAUGUCAUAUAGAGUUCGAAGUGACAACAGAUUCUCAACUUGUAGGGAAUUUCUAGUACAGUCAAUAAGGGGGCUUCAACAUCCUCAACUAUAUCCAUUUUGCACCACCAAAAGACUGUAAAUAUAAAAUCGCAGACUAGGGUGAAGGAUGAGUUUUGUUUGUGACUUAAUACUAUGCUUAGAAAUUAAGCGUGAUUGUAUGAACUUGCUUAAAUUUCUUUAUUGAAGAUAGCUUGAAAUUAAGUGACAUAUUUUUAAUGGUAAGAGAGGGUCUAUCAGAAACAAUCUCUCUACCUUCAUAAGGUAGGGGUUAGGUUGUGUACACACCACCCUCCCCAGACAUCAAGUCUAUGGGUGUGUUGUUAUAUUCCAAGUGGUAAGAGGCGUAAUGUAGGCGCAAGAAAAUCGAAGUUUGUCUCUGAUGGUGAUAGUCAACUUUUCAAGGUCUUCCAUUUUGGAAUUCUUCUUUGCCAACUCUAUUUAAAUCAAUCAUUUUCUAAGCAACAAGUUGAUGCAAAUUAGAGGUUGUGGUGCUCUGAUGGUGAUGGUCAAGGUCUUCUUUGCUAACUUUACUUUAAUUAAAUCAAUCCAAUAGCAAGUAAUAUUUUGGUCCAAUUUUAAGACAAAGUAGAUACUGAGAUUGUAUUAGAUAAGGUUAAUGUAAUUAUAUAUGAAACAAGUAGUCAUUCAACAACAAUUCCCUGGCAUUAAGUUCAUCUGUUGAUGCUGAUGUUAAGCGCUCUCAAUUAUUGUUCUGCCCAACACUACUCUAAGGAUCUGAUUGUUGUUCUGUAAAUAAACUUCUUGUUGGUGUCCAUUAUGUUACAAUUUUGGCAUAAAAAUAUAAAACAUUAUGACUGAAUAAAUCUAUUGACUUGAAAUGGAAACUAACUAGAUGAAAAAUUGUACUAUGACUUACAUUCUUCUACAUAUAUGUACAUUUCUGCAUAUAUUGGUACAUAAUUCUCUGUAGACAGAAAUAAUUAGAAUUUUUUCUCACUUUUUUCAUUAUCUUAUAAAAUGCAUGUGAGUUGAUUCUACUUGAGAUAGAGGGUUCAAAAGAGAUGUUUGUCUUUCUUAGUUAAGGCCACAUUACAGCCGGUUCAGUCAACUCAGGCUGCAUCACAACCAAUUUCCUCAAAUCAGGCUGAAUCACAAUCAACUUCAUUAAAUUAGGCCGAAUCAUAACAAGAACUAUUCAAGAAGCGUGUUGUUAGACAUGAGUCUACGGAAUAUUGGACCAUAGAAGCAAUAGCUAUGCUAUUGAUGGUCUAGCAGGCGGUGAAGAUAUAGACUCCAUUUGGCAUGUCGUGGCUCAGUGUACUGCUGCACUACCUAAGCAUAAACCAUGAUAUGUAAUGGGGUGGGUUACUCACUAGACAUUGUAUAGUGCUUUAGGUGCUGACAUGUAUGAUUGUGUCUAUCCUACUCGUACCGCUCUUUUUGUCACCGCUCUAAUACCUGAGACAGGCGAUGCUAGUGAUACUAGUCGUAGUGACAUCGUUGAAGUUCUAUGAAUAGUUGCAAACCUUUUCUUGAGUAUGGAUGGUAGUGAAUCUUUUCAUCAAUAAAAGCAAGACUACUGACUAAUAGUUUUUAUACUGAUUUGAAGUUUCUAGUAAUCAUAAUGGUUGAAGUGAAUGAUAUUUUUUCAGUUUAAUUUGUAAAACUAAUAUUACACUUUGUAAUAUAUUUUUUGUGUUGAAAUGUUAUUUCUUAAUGCUAAUAAGCCCUUUUAGGUCA